RNAcentral lists this unclassified non-coding RNA (1717 nucleotides) under Owenia fusiformis. RNAcentral describes it as "misc RNA OFUS_LOCUS3586". The record is from RNAcentral. Lineage: Eukaryota; Metazoa; Annelida; Polychaeta; Sabellida; Oweniidae.
AGCAAAACAAACAUGGCCGUCCAGACAUCGGUAUGUCUGGUACAUUAAAGUCUGGACUCCACGCUAUUCUUGACUGAAAUCACUCGAAAGGAAACAGGAAAUCUAUUUGAAUGAUAUCGUAGCAUCAUUUGGGCGGAGAUAAGCAGUGGAUGUCUUAUAAAAACAGCAACUGUGACCAUGGCUUCUCUGGACACCGGGAUCGGGCCAAGUCUGGCUGGUGCAGACCGUCAACUUAAUGCACAAAACCGAUCUUCUCUUACCAAGGAGCAACAUUUACAAUUGGAGCUCGACCGCACAAGAAAUGAAUUGAAGAGCAUACGAGCACGGUUGGAAACCCUUGAAUAUCAAAAUGGCACCACACGAAUACGAUGUGAAAGUGAAAUUGAUUUGCGCGUGGCUUACGAAAAUAAAAUCCAAGUUAGAGAUAUGAACUUAAAAGAUUUGAAGGAAGAAAAUAAUAACUAUGUUGAAAAGAAUUAUGAGUUAGAAACAACCAUAUCUGAGCUAAAAGUUAUGCUCAAUGAAUCCAGAGGCGAAAUAUCUGAGAUUAAAAAGAGAAUGAUAGACAUAUCGGGAAAACUUCAAUUUGAAGUAGAUAAGAACUCAGGACUUGAACGACAGGUUGAAUCAUAUGAAGAAAACGCACACAAACUACUUAUGGAAACUAAGAAAAAUGAAAAUAAUCUAGAGAAAGUAAAAGAGUUAUACGAAAAAGCAGUAUGCUCAAGAGAUCAAUACGUUGUGAACUUCGAACGAACAGUAAAAGAGAACAAAGAACUUAGGUCAACUAUUUAUAAUCUGGAUUCUGAGCUAAUGAAAUGCAAAAACGAUUUGGGCUUAUCGCGUGAAGAAAUCGAAACAUUAUAUAAUGAAAGCGCUGCCUUCACUCGUAUAUUAGUCGAGAACAAUAGAGUAAUAGACAUACAGAGCGCAGAGUCUGUCUUGAAACGAAGGGAACAAAGCUUAGAGAGGAGAAUCCACCAGUGGAACCAGCGUGAAGCUCAGGAAAAACAAUUGAUUCCACUGUAUCAUGGACAGAUUCGUGAACUCAAGCGGACUAACGCCAAGCUAAGGACAGAGAAAGAAGAGAGUUAUAGACAGAAAGAAGAAGGAUUGAAGAGGGAGAAACACCUUGGCAGAAAAUUGGAGAAAGCGCAUGACAAGUAUAAUAGGCAAAGAAUCGGAGAGAGGGACGAACAAAGACUGGAGACAAUGGGAAGAAAAUUUGGCAGGCGUGUGACACCAAGAGUACGAAAGUACAGUGGACGAUAUACAGCCGAAAGAAAAAAGGUGUGGAAGUCUCUUGUCUGCAUCAUCGUACUCGCCGUUGUCUACACAAUAUACAACUAUUGGUGUUGACGACAUUGAUGAGUUGGCGGAUGCAACAACAUAAAUUGUACUUGCAAUUAAUUGCAAUAUUAAGAGCAAUAUGUGAUACAACAUUAGUUUGUAUUUUAUCCAAUGAAUACCAGUUCAUGGUAAGUUAAAAUGGUAGCAUCAUAAGUAAAGUGAAAAAAAUGUUGGUAGCUAUAUUCUAGAUAAGCAUGUCAUUGUGUUUAUUAGAUCGAUCUCAAAUUUAAUAUUCGAAAGACAUUCCAGAUAUCUGUUUUGAUACGAAUGUUGUUGCAAAUGUUAGCUUAUUAACGAAAUCCAUUAUGAAAGAUUUAUUGCUAAAUGAUCAACAAAGCUUUGGUAAUUUCUCGGAUGUCUUCCUGGU